This 106-nucleotide small nuclear RNA is filed under the name Dasypus novemcinctus (nine-banded armadillo). Lineage: Eukaryota; Metazoa; Chordata; Mammalia; Cingulata; Dasypodidae. The record is from RNAcentral.
GUGUUGGUUUCGGCAGCACAGGUACUAAAAUUGGACUGAAUCAGAAAAGAUUAGCACGGCCCCUGCACUAGGGUGCACGCACAGAAGUGAAGCGUCCCGUAUUUUU